CAUUACAAAUCUUUGAGAGAGCUGCGUGCUGUUUUGCAGUGCGCGGUGAUCUACAUUAGCACAGGGUCGCAAGACUCUGAUGUUUACGCUUGUUUGUUUGACAGAGUUAGUUGAGAAAUAAUAAAGACAACUUUAAACAAUGGAUCUCUUGGCUCUUGCAACGAUGAAGAACGCAGUAAAGUGCGAUAUGUAGUGCGAUUUGCAUGAAUCUGUGAGUCAUCUAAUCUUUGAACGCAACUUGCGCCUUUUACGAGGCAUGUUUGUUUGAGUGCCGCAAUCUUCUGCAGCAAUGCGAUUUGACCUGCGUCUUUGUUGACCGGGUUUAAAGAGAGCUAGAGGAUGGCCAGUUUGGACUAGUCCGAGUGCUAAGCAUUCUUGGGUCUAGGACGGAUUGGCUGUUAAAUCUUCUUUUUUAUUUGGCCUCAAAUCAAGCAAGACUACCCGCUGAACUUAA
RNAcentral lists this ribosomal RNA (454 nucleotides) under uncultured Glomeromycotina. Its description in RNAcentral is "eukaryotic LSU rRNA". The stretch from base 129 to 274 matches the Rfam family "5.8S ribosomal RNA". The record is from RNAcentral. Lineage: Eukaryota; Fungi; Glomeromycota.